This 69-nucleotide transfer RNA is filed under the name Leiopotherapon unicolor (spangled perch). Its description in RNAcentral is "tRNA-His". It matches the Rfam family "tRNA". From Rfam's summary of the family: Transfer RNA (tRNA) molecules are approximately 80 nucleotides in length. Their secondary structure includes four short double-helical elements and three loops (D, anti-codon, and T loops). The record is from RNAcentral. Lineage: Eukaryota; Metazoa; Chordata; Actinopteri; Centrarchiformes; Terapontidae.
GUAGAUAUAGUUUAACAAAAACAUUAGAUUGUGAUUCUAGAAACAAAGGUUAAAAUCCUUUUAUCCACC